GAUGAACGCUGGCGGCGUGCCUAAUACAUGCAAGUCGAGCGCGACUUCUUAUACCGAACCUUCGGGUUCACUUUAAGAGUCGAGCGGCGGACGGGUGAGUAACACGUGGGCAACCUGCCCUUAAGACUGGGAUAACUACGGGAAACCGUAGCUAAUACCGGAUAACACUUUUAAACAUAAGUUUAGGAGUUAAAAGGUGGAUGUAUCUAUCACUUAAGGAUGGGCCUGCGGCGCAUUAGCUAGUUGGUGAGGUAACGGCUUACCAAGGCGACGAUGCGUAGCCGACCUGAGAGGGUGAUCGGCCACACUGGAACUGAGACACGGUCCAGACUCCUACGGGAGGCAGCAGUAGGGAAUCUUCCGCAAUGGGCGAAAGCCUGACGGAGCAACGCCGCGUGUGCGAAGAAGGUCUUCGGAUCGUAAAGCACUGUUGUUAAGGAAGAAUGACAGUAAGAGUCACUGCUUACUGUGUGACGGUACUUAACCAGAAAGCCACGGCUAACUACGUGCCAGCAGCCGCGGUAAUACGUAGGUGGCAAGCGUUAUCCGGAAUUAUUGGGCGUAAAGCGCGCGUAGGCGGCGAAAUAAGUCUGAUGUGAAAGCCCCCGGCUCAACCGGGGAAGGUCAUUGGAAACUGUAUCGCUUGAGUGCAGAAGAGGAGAGUGGAAUUCCAUGUGUAGCGGUGAAAUGCGCAGAGAUAUGGAGGAACACCAGUGGCGAAGGCGGCUCUCUGGUCUGUAACUGACGCUGAUGUGCGAAAGCGUGGGGAUCAAACAGG
Molecule: ribosomal RNA, 778 nt
Filed under: uncultured Jeotgalicoccus sp.
Lineage: Bacteria; Bacillati; Bacillota; Bacilli; Caryophanales; Staphylococcaceae
Description: bacterial SSU rRNA
Rfam family: Bacterial small subunit ribosomal RNA
Source: RNAcentral